CGUAGGUGGCGAGCGUUAUCCGGAAUUACUGGGUGUAAAGGGAGCGCAGGCGGGGCGACAAGUCAGCUGUGAAAACUAUGGGCUUAACUCAUAGACUGCAGUUGAAACUGUUGCUCUUGAGUGGAGUAGAGGCAAGCGGAAUUCCGAGUGUAGCGGUGAAAUGCGUAGAUAUUCGGAGGAACACCAGUGGCGAAGGCGGCUUGCUGGGCUCUAACUGACGCUGAGGCUCGAAAGUGUGGGGAGCGAACAGGAUUA
RNAcentral lists this ribosomal RNA (255 nucleotides) under uncultured prokaryote. Its description in RNAcentral is "partial 16S ribosomal RNA". It matches the Rfam family "Bacterial small subunit ribosomal RNA", at positions 526 to 780 of the family's 1533-position model. The record is from RNAcentral.